AUUGUGUCCAUAUUUACACAUAUUUAUAGAGACCAUAUUUACAUGUGUCCACAGGAAAUCCCCAAUGAGGCAAAAGGGCAUAACUUUGUGGCUGCCAUUCUUGAAGAACAGGAUUCAGAGGGAAAUGAUGUGACUGAGGAAGAUUGUGCAUCUCCCACCAAAGAACAUGGUGGGCGCAGGAGGAGUGAGGUGCCUUGUCCAGAGUUUGACAAUAACAAUCAGGGGCAGUCUGACACCCACUGUAUGACAGGCCUGGACAAUGAGCAGCCUCCUGACGGCCGAUUCGCUGGUCUGUUAUACCUCGACGUCUAUCGUCAUGGACGGGAUCCUUUGACUCACCAUGCGUCCACCAGCAACAUCAACCUGGAGGAGCAAGGGGUCACCAAUGAGGCAGCAAAACCCAAGAACAAAUGUCAUCGUGGACCCCUAGCUGUGUGAAAUCCUCAAUCCACCCAGUCAUAGACCUACUCCAAUCCUGAGAGGAAUAUCUGCCUCUUUCUUCAUGCCACCUCCACCCAAACUUGUGCCCACACCAAUUACUCAUGGAUCAAAUCCUAAAUGCAAACCAAGGAGAACUGACUGUGUGGUUUCUCUUCUCCAUUGUGAUAGAUGUCAUGUUUUUAGCGCUCUUUUGGUAUUGACACUUGUGUAAAGCACCACGUUUACACCAACGCUUCACUCCCUCAUGCGUACAAAUGAAGGGAUGACUCAAGCAAGCUCUCCUGCUGAAAGGCUUGAAAACAAGGACAUGAUGAAAACUCCAACCUCUGAUCCAAGCAGCAUUUCAGUGUUUAUCUCUUAGAGAGCAGUCAAACUUCGUGUCAAGGCUGUGCGACUAUGCUUUUUAAAGUCAAUAAUCAAAUCCUGCUGAUCUGAAUCAACAUCAGCUCAGCAGAUCAACUUGUACUAUUGGAAAUCUGCCCACAAUACCCAAGAUACCAAGAUAUAAAGAAUACGAUGGAAAAGAGUGAGAUGAAUUUUCAGAACUGACAUCAGAACAAUCAAUCCUUCACGAUAUUAACUUUAGAGCAGUUACACAUAUUUGCUCAUGUUUCUGCCCUUGUCAGUUUGCUGCAGCUCACUGAGCUCUACGUACAGCCCUGCAUGUUACAAAGACACAAAGCUACUGAGCUGCCUAACUUGCAUUACGCAUCUGGCCACGGAAAUGCUACUGAACUGCUUACUACCAAGCAUUUUCGAACAUUUUUAUAGGAAAUGGAAAUGUCUGGGAAAUCUUGCACCUGUGGUCGAAACUCAGAUUGCUACUGUUGAUGGUAUGUUAAAUGUCAUAAAGCUACUUUUUGUGUUUUGUUUUCAAAAAGUGUUAAUGCCACUCUAAAAAAUUCUGGGUUAAAUAUGGACAAACCCAGCGAUUGGGUUGUUUUCAACCAACAGUUGGAUUAAAUGUUUAACCCAACCUUCUGGGCCGUAACCCAACCGCUGGGUCAAAAACAACCCAAUCGCUGGGUCAAAAACAACCCAUAUUUUACCCAGUGCUGGGUUGUAUUUAACCCAGCAUUUUUUUGAGUGUUAUUUCAUAAGGUACAAUUUAGCAUGUUACAGUUAGUCAAUUUGUAUCCAAGAGUUGAAGCAAAGCUGAAGUAGCUCUUCAGAAGUCAUUUUUGUUAUGUAUUCCUUUUGAAAAGUGUUGCACUUUCCUAUAGGGAUCCUUAACUGAAAGUGUUUACUUAGCUCCAGCAGUCACUAUACAUUGAAAAUGAAGGAAAGACUUUAAAAAGUGUGCCACUAACUUGAAAAACAAUCAGCAACUUUCAGUUUCUCGACAGUUCUGCCAAACCGAAUUCAUAGUGUUUAAACUUGCACUUUGUUUUUACCAGUGGUAUUUUAGUGGUUAUUUUACUUUACGAAAAUCUUCUACUGAUCUGUGUGUUCUCUUUUCAAUCCCUAAAAGGGAUAGUUCACCCAAAAAUUCUGUUAUCAUUUUCCCAAAAUGCCAUUUGACCCCAUUGACUUUCAUUGUGUUCCACAGAAGAAAAAAGGUCAUACAGGUUUGGAACGAUAUGAAGGUGAGUAAAUGAAAAUAAUUUUAGAUUUUUGGGUGAGCUAUCCCUUUAUGAUCAUUCCUACAAUGAUUCAUUGGCACUUGUCUGUAGACUAUCUGAUUGAAAAAAGGAUUUACAGUACAAUCAAAUAGUGAUUAUAACUCUCUUAAAAUGUCUGUUGUACUUUGAGAACCAACAAAGCUUUUCCUUUGUGUGGAAAAUGUUUAUUUUUUUAUUUUUAUGUUAGCUUAGCUCUUGUUAUUGUUGUAAUGGUCUGUUCAAUGUGUUGUUUUAGAAUAUGAAUGGUGUGAAAUUUCUCCAAAUGGGAUUGUAUACAUUACACAUGCACUAGUAGAUUUUCCCUUGAGAGCAGAUAUGCAGUGCAUGUGGUAAGCGCAUGGUAGUUGCAGUCAGAAAAUAGACAUUCUCCACCUUUACAUUUGCACUAUAUGUCUAGCCCUUCCACACUGAGCUUGCACACUGUGUGAGCAACAGGUACUGAGUCACAAGACAAGCAAUACAGCCACAGAACUGGAGAGGCUCUGCAAGGAGGAAUGGCAGAGGAUCCCUAAAUCCAGGUGUGAA
RNAcentral lists this long non-coding RNA (2588 nucleotides) under Sinocyclocheilus grahami. Its description in RNAcentral is "lncRNA (ENSSGRG00000013263.1)". The record is from RNAcentral. Lineage: Eukaryota; Metazoa; Chordata; Actinopteri; Cypriniformes; Cyprinidae.